RNAcentral lists this long non-coding RNA (433 nucleotides) under Helianthus annuus (common sunflower). Its description in RNAcentral is "sRNA HanXRQr2_Chr05g0202991". Lineage: Eukaryota; Viridiplantae; Streptophyta; Magnoliopsida; Asterales; Asteraceae. The record is from RNAcentral.
GAUGGACUAGCUGGGGCAAAUUAUUACAUUACAAUAUAGAAUAAAGUUAAAAGGACAGAAAGAUAUACACUAGAGGUUCUAGCUGCAAUACCUGUACAUGGAUUUUUUCAAGUUCUAUAUAUAUUUUCUUUAUUCUACCAAUUUCAGCAAUUUAUCAUCACUCAAAACCUCAGCUGCAGUAACAACACUCCUCAUCACAUCAACUUGUACUUUAAGAGAAAGAAUGUAGUCCAUUGCUUCUUUGAUCAGGGAGACUUCAUCCAUGGAUUCUCCACCAGCUUCAACGGCGAUUCGGACCCUAAUAAUUGGCUCACAAGAAUGGUGUCUUGCUUGUUUUUCUUAGCCUCGGAUAUUAGUGCAUUGCUCCAUGAAGUUGCUGUCUUUUUAGCAGAAGCCAUGGCAAUGUCUGCAGAUAGCUUUAUUUUCUUCUUUC